This 78-nucleotide transfer RNA is filed under the name Gammaproteobacteria bacterium. Its description in RNAcentral is "tRNA-Leu". It matches the Rfam family "tRNA". Rfam says of the family: Transfer RNA (tRNA) molecules are approximately 80 nucleotides in length. Their secondary structure includes four short double-helical elements and three loops (D, anti-codon, and T loops). Lineage: Bacteria; Pseudomonadati; Pseudomonadota; Gammaproteobacteria. The record is from RNAcentral.
GCCCGGGUGGCGAAACUGGUAGACGCAAGGGACUUAAAAUCCCUCGAGAGCAAUCUCGUGCCGGUUCGACUCCGGCCC